Molecule: long non-coding RNA, 418 nt
Filed under: Daucus carota (carrot)
Lineage: Eukaryota; Viridiplantae; Streptophyta; Magnoliopsida; Apiales; Apiaceae
Description: long non-coding RNA (DCAR_LNC007145)
Source: RNAcentral
AGUAGACUGAUCGAUAACUCAUGGGUAUACAAUUGGACAAAAAAGAAGCCUGAAUGCAUAACUAUUAACGAUGACGGGCAUAGUUGCAAGUCUGCCCACGUUGUUUCAAAGGGUACUUUGCUUAAGAAAAAAGUACGUGGAAGCGUGAUUGGCAUGCUAUUAAGGUCCAAAAACAAAAAAGAGGCAUUUGGCGUUGCAGAAGAUGGUCAAUUUCAGCAAAAUAAAGUUGUUGGGAGAUUAACGAUUUUAGCACUAGAAAAUAUAUUCCUAACGUGUUCCACGAUUGUAAGACUUUAUGUUUAGUUGCUACAUUAGAUUAUUUGGAAAUAUAUUUUGUUAUGAAAUUACAAUUUUGGUUGUGGGAAUUUAGAACAUGGGGAUACACAUUUCUAGCGGGUUGUUUAUAUGAAUUUAAAAA